UACGUAGGGUGCAAGCGUUAAUCGGAAUUACUGGGCGUAAAGCGUGCGUAGGCGGUUAUUUAAGUCUGUUGUGAAAUCCCCGGGCUCAACCUGGGAAUGGCAAUGGAUACUGGAUAGCUAGAGUGUGAUAGAGGAUGGUGGAAUUCCCGGUGUAGCGGUGAAAUGCGUAGAGAUCGGGAGGAACAUCAGUGGCGAAGGCGGCCAUCUGGAUCAACACUGACGCUGAGGCACGAAAGCGUGGGGAGCAAACAG
RNAcentral lists this ribosomal RNA (252 nucleotides) under uncultured bacterium. Its description in RNAcentral is "partial 16S ribosomal RNA". It matches the Rfam family "Bacterial small subunit ribosomal RNA", at positions 524 to 775 of the family's 1533-position model. The record is from RNAcentral.